CCUACGGGAGGCUGCAGUGGGGAAUAUUGCACAAUGGGGGAAACCCUGAUGCAGCGACGCCGCGUGAGUGAAGAAGUAUUUCGGUAUGUAAAGCUCUAUCAGCAGGGAAGAAGCAAGACGGUACCUGACUAAGAAGCCCCGGCUAACUACGUGCCAGCAGCCGCGGUAAUACGGAGGGGGCAAGCGUUAUCCGGAUUUACUGGGUGUAAAGGGAGCGUAGACGGCUGUGCAAGUCUGAAGUGAAAGCCCAGGGCUCAACCCUGGGACUGCUUUGGAAACUGUGGAGCUAGAGUGCUGGAGAGGUAAGUGGAAUGCCUAGUGUAGCGGUGAAAUGCGUAGAUAUUAGGAGGAACACCAGUGGCGAAGGCGGCUUACUGGACAGUAACUGACGUUGAGGCUCGAAAGCGUGGGGAGCGAACAGGAUUAGAUACCCCUGUAGUC
This 441-nucleotide ribosomal RNA is filed under the name uncultured bacterium. RNAcentral describes it as "partial 16S ribosomal RNA". It matches the Rfam family "Bacterial small subunit ribosomal RNA", at positions 338 to 795 of the family's 1533-position model. The record is from RNAcentral.